UACGGAGGAUCCAAGCGUUGUCCGGAUUUAUUGGUUUAAAGGGUGCGUAGGCGGGUUAUUAAGUCAGUGGUGAAAGCCGGCAGCUCAACUGUCGAACUGCCAUUGAAACUGAUAGCCUAGAAUCUAGUAGAGGUAGGCGGAAUGUAUCAUGUAGCGGUGAAAUGCUUAGAUAUGAUACAGAACACAAUUGCGAAAGCAGCUUACUAUGCUAGUAUUGACGCUGAGGCACGAAAGCGUGGGGAUCAAACAGG
Molecule: ribosomal RNA, 251 nt
Filed under: uncultured bacterium
Lineage: Bacteria
Description: partial 16S ribosomal RNA
Rfam family: Bacterial small subunit ribosomal RNA
Source: RNAcentral